RNAcentral lists this ribosomal RNA (450 nucleotides) under Campylobacter sp. oral taxon D66. RNAcentral's name for it is "bacterial SSU rRNA". It matches the Rfam family "Bacterial small subunit ribosomal RNA", at positions 29 to 495 of the family's 1533-position model. The record is from RNAcentral. Lineage: Bacteria; Pseudomonadati; Campylobacterota; Epsilonproteobacteria; Campylobacterales; Campylobacteraceae.
AGUGAACGCUGGCCGGGCGUGCUUAAUACAUGCAAGUCGACGGGCAAGUAAGAGCUUGCUUCUUAAAGUAAGUGGCGCACGGGUGAGUAAUGGAAUAGGUUAUCUGCCCUACAAGAGGCCACCAGUGGAAACGCUGCUAAUACUUCUAUACUCCCUUCUUUAACAUAAGUUAGAUAGGGAAAAGUUUUCGGUGUAGGAUGAGGCUAUAUUGUAUCAGCUAGUUGGUGAGGUAAUGGCUCACCAAGGCUAUGACGCAUAACUGGUCUGAGAGGAUGAUCAGUCACACUGGAACUGAGACACGGUCCAGACUCCUACGGGAGGCAGCAGUAGGGAAUAUUGCUCAAUGGGGGAAACCCUGAAGCAGCAACGCCGCGUGGAGGAUGACACUUUUCGGAGCGUAAACUCCUUUUGUUAGGGAAGAACAAUGACGGUACCUAACGAAUAGCACGG